This 253-nucleotide ribosomal RNA is filed under the name uncultured bacterium. RNAcentral describes it as "partial 16S ribosomal RNA". It matches the Rfam family "Bacterial small subunit ribosomal RNA", at positions 524 to 776 of the family's 1533-position model. The record is from RNAcentral.
UACGGAGGGGGCAAGCGUUAUUCGGAAUUAUUGGGCGUAAAGGGCGCGUAGGCGGCUAGAUGUGUCAAAGGUGAAAUCCCUCGGCUCAACUGAGGAACUGCCUUUGAAACUGUCUGGCUUGAGGCCGGGAGAGGGUAGCGGAAUUCCCAGUGUAGAGGUGAAAUUCGUAGAUAUCGGGAGGAACACCGGUGGCGAAGGCGGCGACCUGGGUAGAUACUGACGCUGAGGCGCGAAAGCGUGGGGAGCAAACAGG